Molecule: ribosomal RNA, 253 nt
Filed under: uncultured bacterium
Lineage: Bacteria
Description: partial 16S ribosomal RNA
Rfam family: Bacterial small subunit ribosomal RNA
Source: RNAcentral
UACGUAGGGGGCAAGCGUUGUCCGGAAUCAUUGGGCGUAAAGAGCGUGUAGGCGGUCCGGUAAGUCGGCUGUGAAAGUCCAGGGCUCAACCCUGGGAUGCCGGUCGAUACUGCCGGACUAGAGUUCGGAAGAGGCGAGUGGAAUUCCCGGUGUAGCGGUGAAAUGCGCAGAUAUCGGGAGGAACACCGAUGGCGAAGGCAGCUCGCUGGGACGGUAUUGACGCUGAGACGCGAAAGCGUGGGGAGCAAACAGG